This 450-nucleotide ribosomal RNA is filed under the name uncultured bacterium. RNAcentral describes it as "partial 16S ribosomal RNA". It matches the Rfam family "Bacterial small subunit ribosomal RNA", at positions 354 to 796 of the family's 1533-position model. The record is from RNAcentral.
GUGGGGAAUUUUGGACAAUGGGCGCAAGCCUGAUCCAGCAAUGCCGCGUGCAGGAAGAAGGCCUUCGGGUUGUAAACUGCUUUUGUACGGAACGAAAAGGCUCUGGUUAAUACCUGGGGCUCAUGACGGUACCGUAAGAAUAAGCACCGGCUAACUACGUGCCAGCAGCCGCGGUAAUACGUAGGGUGCAAGCGUUAAUCGGAAUUACUGGGCGUAAAGCGUGCGCAGGCGGUGUUGUAAGACAGACGUGAAAUCCCCGGGCUCAACCUGGGAAUGGCGUUUGUGACUGCAAAGCUGGAGUGCGGCAGAGGGGGAUGGAAUUCCGCGUGUAGCAGUGAAAUGCGUAGAUAUGCGGAGGAACACCGAUGGCGAAGGCAAUCCCCUGGGCCUGCACUGACGCUCAUGCACGAAAGCGUGGGGAGCAAACAGGAUUAGAAACCCCGGUAGUCC